RNAcentral lists this ribosomal RNA (770 nucleotides) under uncultured marine archaeon. RNAcentral describes it as "bacterial SSU rRNA". It matches the Rfam family "Archaeal small subunit ribosomal RNA", at positions 32 to 808 of the family's 1478-position model. The record is from RNAcentral.
AUCGGAUUGAUACUAAGCAUGCGAGUCAUUGUAGUAAUACAAGGCAGACGGCUCAGUAACGCGUAGUCAACCUAACCUAUGGACGGGAAUAACCUCGGGAAACUGAGUAUAAUGCCCGAUAGAACAUUAUGCCUGGAAUGGUUUAUGUUCCAAAUGAUUUAUCGCCGUAGGAUGGGACUGCGGCCUAUCAGUUUGUUGGUGAGGUAAUGGCCCACCAAGACUAUUACAGGUACGGGCUCUGAGAGGAGUGGCCCGGAGAUGGGUACUGAGACACGGACCCAGGCCCUAUGGGGCGCAGCAGGCGAGAAAACUUUGCAAUGUGCGAAAGCACGACAAGGUUAAUCCGAGUGGUUUCUGCUAAAGGAACCUUUUGUCGGUCCUAGAAACACCGAUGAAUAAGGGGUGGGCAAGUUCUGGUGUCAGCCGCCGCGGUAAAACCAGCACCUCAAGUGGUCAGGAUGAUUAUUGGGCCUAAAGCAUCCGUAGCCGGCUUUGUUAGUUUUCGGUUAAAUCUGUACGCUUAACGUACAGGCUGCCGGGAAUACUGCAGAGCUAGGGAGUGGGAGAGGUAGACGGUACUCGGUAGGAAGGGGUAAAAUCCUUUGAUCUAUUGAUGACCACCUGUGGCGAAGGCGGUCUACCAGAACACGUCCGACGGUGAGGGGAUGAAAGCUGGGGGAGCAAACCGGAUUAGAUACCCGGGUAGUCCCAGCUGUAAACUAUGCAAACUCAGUGAUGCAUUGGCUUGUGGCCAAUGCAGUGCUGCAGGG